Molecule: small nuclear RNA, 102 nt
Organism: Sinocyclocheilus anshuiensis
Lineage: Eukaryota; Metazoa; Chordata; Actinopteri; Cypriniformes; Cyprinidae
Source: Ensembl
UUGCUUGUAUUUCAGUUUAUUUUAUUAUUAUCGAUACAGAGAAGAUUAGCAUGGCCCCUUCGAAAGGAUGACACGCAAAUCAGUGAAGGGCGCUUCGUUUUU